UAUUAAUUAAUGUCUGAUACAAAAAUGUUGAUCGCAAUUUUUCUCGACAACUUAGUUAAUACCAUUAAAGAGAAGUUGAUGUUUUUAUUAAGGUUUUAUUUACUCAGAGCAACAACGUGCAACUCACUGACCCAUUUAAUAUUUAUAAUAUGGACACAAGAGAUUAAGAAAAUGAAAUAACCAUAAGGGUAAAUGCUGA
Long non-coding RNA from Episyrphus balteatus (marmalade hoverfly), 199 nucleotides. RefSeq lists it as uncharacterized. The record is from RefSeq and is a predicted model, not a curated record. Lineage: Eukaryota; Metazoa; Arthropoda; Insecta; Diptera; Syrphidae. The transcript has 2 exons.